Molecule: ribosomal RNA, 842 nt
Filed under: uncultured bacterium
Lineage: Bacteria
Description: bacterial SSU rRNA
Rfam family: Bacterial small subunit ribosomal RNA
Source: RNAcentral
ACACAUGCAAGUCGAACGGAGCUGAGAGGAGCUUGCUUUUCUUAGCUUAGUGGCGAACGGGUGAGUAACGCGUGAGUAACCUGCCCUGGAGUGGGGGACAACAGUUGGAAACGACUGCUAAUACCGCAUAAGCCCACGGAUCCGCAUGGAUCUGCGGGAAAAGGAUUUAUUCGCUUCAGGAUGGACUCGCGUCCAAUUAGCUAGUUGGUGAGGUAACGGCCCACCAAGGCGACGAUUGGUAGCCGGACUGAGAGGUUGAACGGCCACAUUGGGACUGAGACACGGCCCAGACUCCUACGGGAGGCAGCAGUGGGGGAUAUUGCACAAUGGGGGAAACCCUGAUGCAGCGACGCCGCGUGGAGGAAGAAGGUUUUCGGAUUGUAAACUCCUGUCGUUAGGGACGAUAAUGACGGUACCUAACAAGAAAGCACCGGCUAACUACGUGCCAGCAGCCGCGGUAAAACGUAGGGUGCAAGCGUUGUCCGGAAUUACUGGGUGUAAAGGGAGCGCAGGCGGACCGGCAAGUUGGAAGUGAAAACUAUGGGCUCAACCCAUAAAUUGCUUUCAAAACUGCUGGCCUUGAGUAGUGCAGAGGUAGGUGGAAUUCCCGGUGUAGCGGUGGAAUGCGUAGAUAUCGGGAGGAACACCAGUGGCGAAGGCGACCUACUGGGCACCAACUGACGCUGAGGCUCGAAAGCAUGGGUAGCAAACAGGAUUAGAUACCCUGGUAGUCCAUGCCGUAAACGAUGAUUACUAGGUGUUGGAGGAUUGACCCCUUCAGUGCCGCAGUUAACACAAUAAGUAAUCCACCUGGGGAGUACGACCGCAAGGUUGAAACUCAA